AUUGAACGCUGGCGGCAGGCUUAACACAUGCAAGUCGAGCGGGGGAAGGUAGCUUGCUACUGGACCUAGCGGCGGACGGGUGAGUAAUGCUUAGGAAUCUGCCUAUUAGUGGGGGACAACAUCUCGAAAGGGAUGCUAAUACCGCAUACGUCCUACGGGAGAAAGCAGGGGAUCUUCGGACCUUGCGCUAAUAGAUGAGCCUAAGUCGGAUUAGCUUGUUGGUAGGGUAAAGGCCUACCAAGGCAACGAUCCAUAGCUGGUCUGAGAGGAUGAUCAGCCACACUGGGACUGAGACACGGCCCAGACUCCUACGGGAGGCAGCAGUGGGGAAUAUUGGACAAUGGGCGCAAGCCUGAUCCAGCAACGCCGUGUGUGUGAAGAAGGCCUUCGGGUUGUAAAGCACUUUUAGUUGGGAAGAAAAGCUCAAGACUAAUACCCUUGAGUGAUGACGUUACCAACAGAAAAAGCACUGGCUAACUCUGUGCCAGCCGCCGCAGUAA
This 500-nucleotide ribosomal RNA is filed under the name uncultured bacterium. RNAcentral describes it as "partial 16S ribosomal RNA". It matches the Rfam family "Bacterial small subunit ribosomal RNA", at positions 30 to 523 of the family's 1533-position model. The record is from RNAcentral.